RNAcentral lists this long non-coding RNA (568 nucleotides) under Phoenix dactylifera (date palm). Its description in RNAcentral is "long non-coding RNA (PDAC_LNC021544)". Lineage: Eukaryota; Viridiplantae; Streptophyta; Magnoliopsida; Arecales; Arecaceae. The record is from RNAcentral.
CUGAUGUGAAUCUAAAGUAUCUGAUGCAUAUCUUACUUAACUAUACACGCCAACACAGAUUUCCAAGAUGCACUGAAUUGGCCAGGUAAGACUGACAUGAACAUGGGUUCAAUAUAGAUUUUUUCAUGUUUAGUUCAGGAUUGUGGUGUCAUUACAUCAAGAUGAUUGUUCAUCUACCGUGAUGGCUUUGACUACCAUAUUUACCAUCUACUGUAAGAGUUUGACGAGUUCUGGAUGCACUACAUGAUUCAUAUGUAAUUGCAUGCAUCAUAGUUAUUCAUGGCUCUAACCAACAUAAUUUUAUAGGACUAUGUGUGAUUUCAUUCACAUGACUGAUGUACUGAAUGACCAUGAUUUCAUUUUCUUAGCAUAUUUGAAAUAUUUGGUUGUUUCUUAACAUUGAGACACUCUAAAAUGUAAAUACUCAAAAUAUUUGAACCAUAAUGAGCUCUGAGAGAAGAUACAAUCAUGAAAUCUCCAUCUUCAUUUUUAGGGUGUCAAGUUUGGCGAGGACUCAUUUAUCUGAGCCAACCAACUGAACCCAACCUCGGGCCUGACAUAUUGGGUU